This 253-nucleotide ribosomal RNA is filed under the name uncultured bacterium. Its description in RNAcentral is "partial 16S ribosomal RNA". It matches the Rfam family "Bacterial small subunit ribosomal RNA", at positions 524 to 776 of the family's 1533-position model. The record is from RNAcentral.
UACAGAGGGUGCAAGCGUUAAUCGGAAUUACUGGGCGUAAAGCGCGCGUAGGUGGUUCAGUAAGUUGGAUGUGAAAUCCCCGGGCUCAACCUGGGAACUGCAUCCAAAACUGCUGAGCUAGAGUACGGUAGAGGGUAGUGGAAUUUCCUGUGUAGCGGUGAAAUGCGUAGAUAUAGGAAGGAACACCAGUGGCGAAGGCGACUACCUGGACUGGUACUGACACUGAGGUGCGAAAGCGUGGGGAGCAAACAGG